Molecule: ribosomal RNA, 688 nt
Filed under: uncultured Bacteroides sp.
Lineage: Bacteria; Pseudomonadati; Bacteroidota; Bacteroidia; Bacteroidales; Bacteroidaceae
Description: bacterial SSU rRNA
Rfam family: Bacterial small subunit ribosomal RNA
Source: RNAcentral
CGCUAGCUACAGGCUUAACACAUGCAAGUCGAGGGGCAGCACAGUGUAGCAAUACACGGGUGGCGACCGGCGCACGGGUGCGUAACGCGUAUCCAACCUUCCCGAUACUCUUGGAUAGCCUUCCGAAAGGGAGAUUAAUACAAGAUGGUGUUUCAAUUCCGCAUGUUAUUGAAACUAAAGAUUUAUCGGUAUCGGAUGGGGAUGCGUGACAUUAGAUAGUAGGCGGGGUAACGGCCCACCUAGUCUACGAUGUCUAGGGGUUCUGAGAGGAAGGUCCCCCACACUGGAACUGAGACACGGUCCAGACUCCUACGGGAGGCAGCAGUGAGGAAUAUUGGUCAAUGGUCGGAAGGCUGAACCAGCCAAGUAGCGUGAAGGAUGAAGGUUCUAUGGAUUGUAAACUUCUUUUAUACGGGAAUAAAACCUCCCACGUGUGGGAGCUUGUAUGUACCGUAUGAAUAAGCAUCGGCUAACUCCGUGCCAGCAGCCGCGGUAAUACGGAGGAUGCGAGCGUUAUCCGGAUUUAUUGGGUUUAAAGGGAGCGUAGACGGGAUGUUAAGUCAGUUGUGAAAGGCUGCGGCUCAACCGCAGCACUGCAGUUGAUACUGGCGUCCUUGAGUGCGGUUGAGGUAUGAGGAAUUCGUGGUGUAGCGGUGAAAUGCUUAGAUAUCACGAAGGACUCCGAUUG